This 480-nucleotide ribosomal RNA is filed under the name uncultured bacterium. RNAcentral describes it as "SSU rRNA". It matches the Rfam family "Bacterial small subunit ribosomal RNA", at positions 26 to 518 of the family's 1533-position model. The record is from RNAcentral.
AGGACGAACGCUGGCGGCGUGCUUAACACAUGCAAGUCGAGCGAGGCCCCUCCUUCGGGAGGGUGUCCUAGCGGCGAACGGGUGAGUAACACGUGGGCAACCUGCCCUCAGCUCUGGGAUAACCCCGGGAAACCGGGGCUAAUACCGGAUACGACCUCCACGGGCAUCUGCGGAGGUGGAAAGGUUUUUCCGGCUGAGGAUGGGCCCGCGGCCUAUCAGCUAGUUGGUGGGGUGAUGGCCCACCAAGGCGACGACGGGUAGCCGGCCUGAGAGGGCGACGGCCACGACUGGGACUGAGACACGGCCCAGACUCCUACGGGAGGCAGCAGUGGGGAAUAUUGCGCAAUGGGCGAAAGCCUGACGCAGCGACGCCGCGUGAGGGACGAAGGCCUUCGGGUUGUAAACCUCUUUCAGCAGGGACGAAGCGAGAGUGACGGUACCUGCAGAAGAAGCACCGGCCAACUACGUGCCAGCAGCCGC